GAUGAACGCUAGCUACAGGCUUAACACAUGCAAGUCGAGGGGCAGCAUUUCAGUUUGCUUGCAAACUGGAGAUGGCGACCGGCGCACGGGUGAGUAACACGUAUCCAACCUGCCGAUAACUCGGGGAUAGCCUUUCGAAAGAAAGAUUAAUACCCGAUGGUAUAAUCAGACCGCAUGGUCUUGUUAUUAAGGAAUUUCGGUUAUCGAUGGGGAUGCGUUCCAUUAGGCAGUUGGUGAGGUAACGGCUCACCAAACCUUCGAUGGAUAGGGGUUCUGAGAGGAAGGUCCCCCACAUUGGAACUGAGACACGGUCCAAACUCCUACGGGAGGCAGCAGUGAGGAAUAUUGGUCAAUGGGCGCAGGCCUGAACCAGCCAAGUAGCGUGAAGGAUGACUGCCCUAUGGGUUGUAAACUUCUUUUAUAUGGGAAUAAAGUUUUCCACGUGUGGAAUUUUGUAUGUACCAUAUGAAUAAGGAUCGGCUAACUCCGUGCCAGCAGCCGCGGUAAUACGGAGGAUCCGAGCGUUAUCCGGAUUUAUUGGGUUUAAAGGGAGCGUAGGUGGACAGUUAAGUCAGUUGUGAAAGUUUGCGGCUCAACCGUAAAAUUGCAGUUGAUACUGGCUGUCUUGAGUACAGUAGAGGUGGGCGGAAUUCGUGGUGUAGCGGUGAAAUGCUUAGAUAUCACGAAGAACUCCGAUUGCGAAGGCAGCUCACUGGACUGCAACUGACACUGAUGCUCGAAAGUGUGGGUAUCAAACAGGAUUAGAUACCCUGGUAGUCCACACAGUAAACGAUGAAUACUCGCUGUUUGCGAUAUACAGUAAGCGGCCAAGCGAAAGCAUUAAGUAUUCCACCUGGGGAGUACGCCGGCAACGGUGAAACUCAAAGGAAUUGACGGGGGCCCGCACAAGCGGAGGAACAUGUGGUUUAAUUCGAUGAUACGCGAGGAACCUUACCCGGGCUUAAAUUGCAUUUGAAUAUAUUGGAAACAGUAUAGCCGUAAGGCAAAUGUGAAGGUGCUGCAUGGUUGUCGUCAGCUCGUGCCGUGAGGUGUCGGCUUAAGUGCCAUAACGAGCGCAACCCUUAUCUUUAGUUACUAACAGGUCAUGCUGAGGACUCUAGAGAGACUGCCGUCGUAAGAUGUGAGGAAGGUGGGGAUGACGUCAAAUCAGCACGGCCCUUACGUCCGGGGCUACACACGUGUUACAAUGGGGGGUACAGAAGGCAGCUACCUGGUGACAGGAUGCUAAUCCCAAAAGCCUCUCUCAGUUCGGAUCGAAGUCUGCAACCCGACUUCGUGAAGCUGGAUUCGCUAGUAAUCGCGCAUCAGCCAUGGCGCGGUGAAUACGUUCCCGGGCCU
This 1359-nucleotide ribosomal RNA is filed under the name uncultured bacterium. RNAcentral describes it as "bacterial SSU rRNA". It matches the Rfam family "Bacterial small subunit ribosomal RNA", at positions 28 to 1381 of the family's 1533-position model. The record is from RNAcentral.